UGGGGAAUUUUGGACAAUGGGGGCAACCCUGAUCCAGCCAUUCCGCGUGAGUGAAGAAGGCCUUCGGGUUGUAAAGCUCUUUUGUCGGGGACGAAACGGUUUCACCUAAUACGUGAGACUACUGACGGUACCCGAAGAAUAAGCACCGGCUAACUACGUGCCAGCAGCCGCGGUAAUACGUAGGGUGCGAGCGUUAAUCGGAAUUACUGGGCGUAAAGCGUGCGCAGGCGGUUUUGUAAGCCAGAUGUGAAAUCCCCGGGCUCAACCUGGGAAUGGCAUUUGGGACUGCAAGGCUGGAGUAUGGCAGAGGGGACUAGAAUUCCUGGUGUAGCAGUGAAAUGCGUAGAUAUCAGGAGGAAUACCGAUGGCGAAGGCAGGUCCCUGGGCCAAUACUGACGCUCAUGCACGAAAGCGUGGGGAGCAAACA
RNAcentral lists this ribosomal RNA (427 nucleotides) under uncultured bacterium. RNAcentral's name for it is "bacterial SSU rRNA". It matches the Rfam family "Bacterial small subunit ribosomal RNA", at positions 355 to 774 of the family's 1533-position model. The record is from RNAcentral.